RNAcentral lists this long non-coding RNA (287 nucleotides) under Hordeum vulgare. Its description in RNAcentral is "long non-coding RNA (HVUL_LNC009411)". Lineage: Eukaryota; Viridiplantae; Streptophyta; Magnoliopsida; Poales; Poaceae. The record is from RNAcentral.
AUCCAUGGUUUGCAAUUUUUGAAUCCUUUCCGACAAAGAUGCAAGUUGAAGUAGGCUCUAACAUCAGACCAAACCGCUAUUGCAUAAGGAUAAAAUAGCAAUGCAUGUUCUAUGUGCCCAUCUGUAGAACAAUGGACACAAACCUUAGAAGCAGGGAUAUGUCGCCGGUGAAGUUGCAUUUCUCAAGGCAAGCAAUCAUGAGCGAAUCUCCAAAUAGUUAUCAACAUCUUCCCCGGAGCCUUGAUUGCCCAAAUUUUGUUCCAUGAAAUAGUUUCACAUUGUAGAUU